RNAcentral lists this transfer RNA (94 nucleotides) under Streptomyces lucensis JCM 4490. RNAcentral describes it as "tRNA-Asp". The record is from RNAcentral. Lineage: Bacteria; Bacillati; Actinomycetota; Actinomycetes; Kitasatosporales; Streptomycetaceae.
GGCGCCGUCGGCCGGGGCGACUCGGUCGCCGUCAUCGGCUGCGGCGGCGUCGGCGACGCCGCCGUCGCCGGAUCGAACCUGGCCGGCGCGGCCA